ACCAUGAAGAGUUUGAUCCUGGCUCAGGAUGAACGCUAGCGGCAGGCUUAAUACAUGCAAGUCGAACGGUAAAUAUUGAGCAAUCAAUAUGAGAGUGGCGCACGGGUGAGUAACACGUAUGUAACCUACCUCUAACCGGAGAAUAGCUUCGAGAAAUCGAAAUUAAUAUUCCAUAAUAUCUGAUAGCGGCAUCGUUAACAGAUUAAAGCUCAGGCAGUUAGAGAUGGGCAUGCGGUCCAUUAGCUAGUUGGUGGUGGUAAUGGCCCACCAAGGCUACGAUGGAUAGCUGGUCUGAGAGGAUGAUCAGCCACACUGGCACUGAGACACGGGCCAGACUCCUACGGGAGGCAGCAGUAGGGAAUAUUGGGCAAUGGGCGAAAGCCUGACCCAGCCAUGCCGCGUGCAGGAUUGAAAGCUCUAUGAGUCGUAAACUGCUUUUGUCUGGGACGAAAAUAACUUUUCUAAGUGAAUUGACGGUACCAGACGAAUAAGGACCGGCUAACUACGUGCCAGCAGCCGCGGUAAUACGUAGGGUCCAAGCGUUAUCCGGAUUUACUGGGUUUAAAGGGUGCGUAGGUGGUUUGAUAAGUUAGUGGUGAAAUCUUCCGGCUUAACCGGAAAACUGCCAUUAAAACUAUCUUACUUGAGUGUAGCCGAGGCGAGUGGAAUGUAUCAUGUAGCGGUGAAAUGCUUAGAUAUGAUACAGAACACCAAUUGUGAAGACAGCUCGCUAGACUAUUACUGACACUGAGGCACGAAAGCGUGGGGAGCAAACAGGAUUAGAUACCCUGGUAGUCCACGCCCUAAACGAUGAACACUAGACGUGUGUGGCUUAGCUAUACGUGUCCAAGCGAAAGCGUUAAGUGUUCCACCUGGGGAGUACGGCCGCAAGGUUAAAACUCAAAGGAAUUGACGGGGGCCCGCACAAGCGGAGGAGUAUGUGGUUUAAUUCGAUGAUACGCGAGGAACCUUACCUGGGCUAGAAUGCGCGUGACGAUCACCGAAAGGUGGUUUCUCUUCGGAGCACAAAGCAAGGUGCUGCAUGGCUGUCGUCAGCUCGUGCCGUGAGGUGUCGGGUUAAGUCCCUCAACGAGCGCAACCCCUAUCCUUAGUUGCUAACAGGUCCGCUGAGCACUCUAAGGAAACUGCCUGCGUAAGCAGUGAGGAAGGAGGGGAUGACGUCAAGUCAGCACGGCCUUUAUGUCCAGGGCUACACACAUACUACAAUGGUUGCUACAGAGGGCUGCCACCUGGCGACAGGGAGCCAAUCCCUAAAAGCAACCUCAGUUCGGAUUGGAGUCUGCAACUCGACUCCAUGAAGUUGGAUUCGCUAGUAAUCGCAUAUCAGCAAUGGUGCGGUGAAUACGUUCCCGGGCCUUGUACACACCGCCCGUCAAGCCAUGGGAGUCGAAGGUACCUGAAGUCGAUGACCGAAAGGAGUUGCCCAAGGUAAAUUCGAUGACUGGGGCUAAGUCGUAACAAGGUAGCCGUACCGGAAGGUGCGGCUGGAACACCUCCUUUUUAGAG
Molecule: ribosomal RNA, 1527 nt
Filed under: Sphingobacteriales bacterium
Lineage: Bacteria; Pseudomonadati; Bacteroidota; Sphingobacteriia; Sphingobacteriales
Description: bacterial SSU rRNA
Rfam family: Bacterial small subunit ribosomal RNA
Source: RNAcentral